Molecule: long non-coding RNA, 759 nt
Filed under: Mus spicilegus (steppe mouse)
Lineage: Eukaryota; Metazoa; Chordata; Mammalia; Rodentia; Muridae
Description: lncRNA (ENSMSIG00000023400.1)
Source: RNAcentral
CCUUAACAGCCCAGCAUCACAAUGCUGGCUCUAAUACCGGGUGAGGAGGCUGAGAGUGUGGAGUUCCUCUGGCCCACAGGCCUGGCAUUCCCAGGGCUCCAGAAACUUGUCAAAGCAGGCCGUCUGGCUUCAGAGCCCUCCUUACUGAUCCUAGGGAAGAAAGAGCAGAAUGAAAAUACCACCCUGCGGCACCCACGGUGACAGAGUCCACGGGAACUUUGAUGUUAGAGACAAGCAGAGUUAAGAAAGGGCCAGGUCACGUCUCACCUGCUGCUAAUGUUCUACUGGAGCUCUCUGACCCUCUGUAUAGCGAGGACCACCAGGACUCAUCAGAAGCCACCAACAGAAGACCGCCUUCACCUUGUCCUUUGUUCUAAGCAUCCCUGGCCCUUCCUGCCAGGGACCAUCUCUGUGACAUGGUUCCCUAUGGCACCCCAAACUCCUGCUGGUCACUCAGACUCCAAACCCAUGCCCCGGUGACACAAAUUGCACACUUCAGCCAGCACCGCCUACAAAAUUAUCAGGGGAAGCGGAGGAACAACGAAUCCCUAACGUCCGUGGGAACAUAGCUCUAAAGCAGAGACUUGUGUACCCCAGCAUUUUCACUCGCCUUGUCCUGAAGGAAUACACCCCAUUAUUUUAACUACGCAUGUGGCUAUCCCAAACACUACUGUUUCCAGCUUCUUAUGCAGUUGAACAUAAUAAGAGCACAUGUCUGCCUCUGGCCAAUAAAUUAUAAAUGAAAACAGAAGAGAAACA